CUACGUGCCAGCAGCCGCGGUAAUACGUAGGGUGCGAGCGUUAGUCGGAAUUACUGGGCGUAAAGCGAGCGCAGACGGUUACUUAAGCAGGAUGUGAAAUCCCCGGGCUCAACCUGGGAACUGCGUUCUGAACUGGGUGACUAGAGUGUGUUAGAGGGAGGUAGAAUUCCACGUGUAGCAGUGAAAUGCGUAGAGAUGUGGAGGAAUACCGAUGGCGAAGGCAGCCUCCUGGGAUAACACUGACGUUCAUGCUCGAAAGCGUGGGUAGCAAACAGGAUUAGAUACCCUGGUAGUCCACGCCCUAAACGAUGUCAAUUAGCUGUUGGGCAACUUGAUUGCUUAGUAGCGUAGCUAACGCGUGAAAUUGACCGCCUGGGGAGUACGGUCGCAAGAUUAAAACUCAAAGGAAUUGACGGGGACCCGCACAAGCGGUGGAUGAUGUGGAUUAAUUCGAUGCAACGCGAAGAACCUUACCUGGUCUUGACAU
This 487-nucleotide ribosomal RNA is filed under the name uncultured bacterium. RNAcentral's name for it is "bacterial SSU rRNA". It matches the Rfam family "Bacterial small subunit ribosomal RNA", at positions 501 to 987 of the family's 1533-position model. The record is from RNAcentral.